AUGGUAGGAUAGAGGCCUACCAUGGUGGUAACGGGUAACGGGGUGUUAGGGCACGACACCGGAGAGGGAGCCUGAGAAACGGCUACCACAUCCAAGGAUGGCAGCAGGCGCGCAAAUUACCCAAUCCCGACACGGGGAGGUAGUGACAAUAAAUAACAAUACGGGGUUCUUUAGGAUCUCGUAAUUGGAAUGAGUACAAUUUAAAUCUCUUAACGAGGAACAAUUGGAGGGCAAGUCUGGUGCCAGCAGCCGCGGUAAUUCCAGCUCCAAUAGCGUAUAUUAAAGUUGUUGCAGUUAAAAAGCUCGUAGUUGAAUUUCGGGGUCAGUAGGUCGGUCGUGCCACUGGUAUGAACUGGUUUUACUGGUUCCUCCCUCUUGAAGAACUGUAAUGCCAUUAAUUUGGUGUUGCAGGGAAUCAGGACUGUUACUUUGAAAAAAUUAGAGUGUUUAAAGCAGGCUUUAGCUUGAAUACAUUAGCAUGGAAUAAUGAAAUAGGACGUUUGAUCCUAUUUUGUUGGUUUCUAGGAUUGACGUAAUGAUUAAUAGGGAUAGUUGGGGGCAUUAGUAUUCAAUUGCCAGAGGUGAAAUUCUUGGAUUUAUUGAAGACUAACUACUGCGAAAGCAUUUGCCAAGGAUGUUUUCAUUAAUCAAGAACGAAAGUUAGGGGAUCGAAGACGAUCAGAUACCGUCGUAGUCUUAACCAUAAACUAUGCCGACUAGGGAUCGGAUGAUGUUAAUUUUUUAAUGACUCAUUCGGCGCCUUACGGGAAACCAAAGUGUUUGGG
RNAcentral lists this ribosomal RNA (785 nucleotides) under uncultured Glomus. Its description in RNAcentral is "SSU rRNA". It matches the Rfam family "Eukaryotic small subunit ribosomal RNA", at positions 325 to 1111 of the family's 1831-position model. Lineage: Eukaryota; Fungi; Glomeromycota; Glomeromycetes; Glomerales; Glomeraceae. The record is from RNAcentral.